AUUGAACGCUGGCGGCAUGCUUUACACAUGCAAGUCGAACGGCAGCGGGGAGGAGCUUGCUUCUCUGCCGGCGAGUGGCGAACGGGUGAGUAAUACAUCGGAACGUGUCGAGAAGAGGGGGAUAACCACCCGAAAGGGUGGCUAAUACCGCAUAAAUUCUGAGGAAGAAAGCUGGGGACCUAGGAAUAGGCCUAGCGCUUUUUGAGCGGCCGGUGUCGGAUUAGCUAGUUGGUGAGGUAAAGGCUCACCAAGGCGAAGAUCUGUAGCGGGUCUGAGAGGAUGAUCCGCCACACUGGGACUGAGACACGGCCCAGACUCCUACGGGAGGCAGCAGUGGGGAAUUUUGGACAAUGGGGGCAACCCUGAUCCAGCCAUGCCGCGUGUAUGAAGAAGGCCUUAGGGUUGUAAAGUACUUUUGUUAGGGAAGAAAAGUCAGCUGUGAAUAAUGGCUGAUACUGACGGUACCUAAAGAAUAAGCACCGGCUAACUACGUG
This 494-nucleotide ribosomal RNA is filed under the name uncultured bacterium. RNAcentral describes it as "partial 16S ribosomal RNA". It matches the Rfam family "Bacterial small subunit ribosomal RNA", at positions 30 to 507 of the family's 1533-position model. The record is from RNAcentral.